CCUACGGGUGGCAGCAGUGAGGAAUAUUGGUCAAUGGACGAGAGUCUGAACCAGCCAAGUAGCGUGAAGGAUGACUACCCUAUGGGUUGUAAACUUCUUUUAUAUGGGAAUAAAAUGUUCCACGUGUGGGAUUUUGUAUGUACCAUAUGAAUAAGGAUCGGCUAACUCCGUGCCAGCAGCCGCGGUAAUACGGAGGAUCCGAGCGUUAUCCGGAUUUAUUGGGUUUAAAGGGAGCGUAGGUGGAUUGUUAAGUCAGUUGUGAAAGUUUGCGGCUCAACCGUAAAAUUGCAGUUGAAACUGGCAGUCUUGAGUACAGUAGAGGUGGGCGGAAUUCGUGGUGUAGCGGUGAAAUGCUUAGAUAUCACGAAGAACUCCGAUUGCGAAGGCAGUUCACUGGACUGCAACUGACACUGAGGCUCGAAAGUGUGGGUAUCAAACAGGAUUAGAUACCCGAGUAGUC
RNAcentral lists this ribosomal RNA (460 nucleotides) under uncultured bacterium. Its description in RNAcentral is "partial 16S ribosomal RNA". It matches the Rfam family "Bacterial small subunit ribosomal RNA", at positions 338 to 795 of the family's 1533-position model. The record is from RNAcentral.